AACCUGGUUGGGUGGUCUGCCUUCACGGUACGUACUGCUUGGCCGGGUUCUACCUCUUGGUGAGCCGGCAUGCCCUUCACUGGGUGUGUCGGGGAACCAGGACUUUUACCUUGAGAAAAUUAGAGUGUUUAUGGCAGGCCGGAGUGCUUGAAUACAUUAGCAUGGAAUAAUGGAAUAGGA
Molecule: ribosomal RNA, 180 nt
Filed under: uncultured Glomeromycotina
Lineage: Eukaryota; Fungi; Glomeromycota
Description: partial small subunit ribosomal RNA
Source: RNAcentral